GAUGAACGCUAGCGAUAGGCUUAACACAUGCAAGUCGAGGGGCAUCACGAAUUAGCAAUAGUUUGGUGGCGACCGGCGCACGGGUGCGUAACACGUAUACAACCUACCUUCAAUUGGGGAAUAACCUGGAGAAAUUCGGACUAAUAUCCCAUAGCAAACGGAAGAGGCAUCUUUUUGUUUAAAGAUUUAUUGAUUGGAGAUGGGUAUGCGUAGGAUUAGCUAGUUGGUAAGGUAACGGCUUACCAAGGCGACGAUCCUUAGGGGUUCUGAGAGGAAGGUCCCCACACUGGUACUGAGACACGGACCAGACUCCUACGGGAGGCAGCAGUGAGGAAUAUUGGUCAAUGGUCGAGAGACUGAACCAGCCAAGUCGCGUGAAGGAAGACGGCUCUAUGAGUUGUAAACUUCUUUUGUACAGGAGUAAAGUGAGACACGCGUGUUUUAUUGCAAGUACUGUACGAAUAAGCAUCGGCUAACUCCGUGCCAGCAGCCGCGGUAA
RNAcentral lists this ribosomal RNA (499 nucleotides) under uncultured bacterium. RNAcentral's name for it is "bacterial SSU rRNA". It matches the Rfam family "Bacterial small subunit ribosomal RNA", at positions 28 to 523 of the family's 1533-position model. The record is from RNAcentral.